GCCUACGGGGGGCAGCAGUGGGGAAUAUUGGACAAUGGGCGAAAGCCUGAUCCAGCCAUGCCGCGUGAGUGAUGAAGGCCCUAGGGUUGUAAAGCUCUUUCAACGGUGAAGAUAAUGACGGUAACCGUAGAAGAAGCCCCGGCUAACUUCGUGCCAGCAGCCGCGGUAAUACGAAGGGGGCUAGCGUUGUUCGGAAUUACUGGGCGUAAAGCGCACGUAGGCGGAUACUUAAGUCAGGGGUGAAAUCCCGGGGCUCAACCCCGGAACUGCCUUUGAUACUGGGUAUCUCGAGUCCGGAAGAGGUGAGUGGAAUUCGGGGUGUAGAGGUGAAAUUCGUAGAUAUUCGGAGGAACACCAGUGGCGAAGGCGGCUCACUGGUCCGGUACUGACGCUGAGGUGCGAAAGCGUGGGGAGCAAACAGGAUUAGAUACCCUUGUAGUC
This 441-nucleotide ribosomal RNA is filed under the name uncultured Phyllobacteriaceae bacterium. Its description in RNAcentral is "bacterial SSU rRNA". It matches the Rfam family "Bacterial small subunit ribosomal RNA", at positions 337 to 795 of the family's 1533-position model. The record is from RNAcentral. Lineage: Bacteria; Pseudomonadati; Pseudomonadota; Alphaproteobacteria; Hyphomicrobiales; Phyllobacteriaceae.